Molecule: transfer RNA, 67 nt
Filed under: Eurysternus sp. KM-2017
Lineage: Eukaryota; Metazoa; Arthropoda; Insecta; Coleoptera; Scarabaeidae
Description: tRNA-Phe
Source: RNAcentral
AUUUAAAUAGCUUAAAUUGAGAGUAUGAUAUUGAAGAUAUCAGGGUAAUAUUUUAUAUUUUUAAAUA